Molecule: long non-coding RNA, 1684 nt
Organism: Oncorhynchus tshawytscha (Chinook salmon)
Lineage: Eukaryota; Metazoa; Chordata; Actinopteri; Salmoniformes; Salmonidae
Source: Ensembl
UUUUAUUUUUGCAAAUACGUUCACUUUAUUUGUAUUUUUUACCACAAAAUAAUGAAAUAUGCAGCAUCCCUUAAUUUUUACAUUAAAAAUAGUUAUUACAAUCAAUGAUAUGAGCAUUAUAUGGAUACAAGUAUGAAGUUGCAGUGCAAAGGCUUACAAAAUCUUGAGCAAAAUCAAAUAUAUUACUUUAAAAUUCUUUACCCUAAAUUACAGAGGUGCAAAUGAUCCCUUUGGGCCUCAACCAAUAUCCACAUAAAAUUAGUUCAAACAUAUUUCAUUUAGAUCUAAUAAAACUAUUCAAAAUAAAAAAUCCACCUUGUAUAAACUCACCUUUCCAUGUUAAGACUCCUCCUUACCUGUCCACAAAUAAAAUAUAGGUGAUCAACUAAAUCCUCCGGUCUUUUUACUGACCCUUAUUCCAAUCACAGAGGAGGCUUUACCUCUUCUCUGUGUCUGGUCAGGUCUGGUCAGGUUUGGUCUGGUCAUUAUGCUGGUCAGGUCAGGUCUGGUCAGGUAUGGUCAUUAUGCUGGUCAGGUCAGGUCAGGUCAGGUCAGGUCUGGUCAGGUCUGGUCAGGACAUUAUGCUGGUCAGGUCUGGUCAGGACAUCAUGCUGGUCUGGUCUGGACAUUAUGCUGGUCAGGUCUGGUCAGGUCUGGUCAGGACAUUAUGCUGGUCGGGUCAGGACAUUAUGCUGGCCAGGUCUGGUCAGGACAUUAUGCUGGUCGGGUCAGGACAUUAUGCUGGCCAGGUCUGGUCAGGACAUUAUGCUGGUCAGGUCUGGUCUGGUCAGGUCAGGUCUGGUCAGGACAUUAUGCUGGUCAGGUCUGGUCAGGUCAGGUCAGGUCUGGUCAGGACAUUAUGCUGGUCAGGUCAGGUCUGGUCUGGUCAGGUCUGGUCAGGUCAGGUCUGGUCAGGUUUGGUCAGGACAUUAUGUUGGUCAGGUCUGGUCAGGACAUUAUGCUGGUCAGGUCUGGUCUGGUCAGGUCAGGUCUGGUCAGGUCUGGCCAAGUCUGGUCUGGUCAGGACAUUAUGCUGGUCAGGUCUGGUCAGGACAUUAUGCUGGUCUCGUCUGGACAUUAUGCUGGUCAGGUCUGGUCUGGUCAGGUCAGGUCUGGUCACAACAUUAUGCUGGUCAGGUCAGGUCAGGUCUGGUCAGGUCUGGUCAGGACAUUAUGCUGGUCAGGUCUGGUCUGGUCAGGUCUGGUCUGGUCAGGUCAGGUUGGUCUGGUCAGGUCUGGUCUGGUCUGGUCUGGUCUGGUCUGGUCAGGUCAGGUCUGGUCAGGUCAUGUCUAAAGUCUGGUCAGGUCUGGCCUGGUCUGGUCUGGUCAGGUCUGGUCUGGUCAGGUCUGGUCAGGACAUUAUGCUGGUCUGGUCUGGUCAGGACAUUAUGCUGGUCAGGUCUGGUCAGGUCAGGUCAGGUCAGGUCAGGUCAGGUCAGGUCAGGUCAGGUCUGGAUCUGGUCAGGUCAGGACAUUAUGCUGGUCUGGUCAGGGCAGGUCUGGUUAGGUCUGGACAGGUCAGGUCAGGUCAGGACAUUAUGCAGGUCUGGUCAGUUCUGGUCAGGUCUGGUCAGGUCUGGUCAGGACAUUGAUGCUUGAUCCUUUCACUGCAUUGCCAUUGUAGCCUCAGCAUCUGAAAAUACACAAGACAACAGAAUAAUCUGAUUAGGACAUAGAACAUUUC